CAUCGGGCCGCAAGACGGGGCACGUCAGUGCGGCGCCGAAAGUCGUUCGAACGUGGCGUGUGACGCCAAUUUCGUGGGCAAACAGGGGUCGGGGACCCCGUGCCCGUAGCGUUUUCCGCAUCCCGGAGGUCGAGCGGGAAAUCGGGGGCCGGGACGACGACGCGGUGCGCGGGCGUCACGGAACACGAUUCUCGCUUCGGGGUUCGCCCGUAGCCGCGCCGUGCAAACGGGCGGCGCUGGGCGAACGAUGGAACGAUCGGCCAACACAAUUCCGUCUACGUAGGUAGCAACACAGGAAACCGCGGUCCCGCCAAGGGAGGCUCCCCUU
This 328-nucleotide unclassified non-coding RNA is filed under the name Morinda scabrida. Its description in RNAcentral is "partial external transcribed spacer". The record is from RNAcentral. Lineage: Eukaryota; Viridiplantae; Streptophyta; Magnoliopsida; Gentianales; Rubiaceae.